Molecule: ribosomal RNA, 204 nt
Filed under: uncultured bacterium
Lineage: Bacteria
Description: partial 16S ribosomal RNA
Rfam family: Bacterial small subunit ribosomal RNA
Source: RNAcentral
CAGUUCGGACUGGAGUCUGCAACCCGACUCCACGAAGCUGGAUUCGCUAGUAAUCGCGCAUCAGCCACGGCGCGGUGAAUACGUUCCCGGGCCUUGUACACACCGCCCGUCAAGCCAUGGGAGCCGGAGGUACCUGAAGUGCGUAACCGCGAGGAUCGCCCUAGGGUAAAACUGGUGACUGGGGCUAAGUCGUAACAAGGUAAC